AGAUGGAAGUGUUAAUGAGACUAUUGUUUAGCUCAGAAUAAACAACACUUAACACGUAUCCACAUUGGUGGUGAUUCAUCUAAUUCAACCCUUUUAAAAUGGAUUUUAAAUAACAAGACUCAAAAUGAUGCCAAAACACUUUUAUUGCAAAAAUUACAAGAUAAUUACAGAACAGAAAAUAAGAAAAAUGCACCUUAAUUACAAAAUAUCUGUAAACAUACUGCUGGCCAUCUACAGCCAAAGUUUGAUUGGAGUGUAAACCUGAUCGUCAGAGUGUCUCUGGCCUAAUGGGUUAUGCUACAGACCACCAGACAUCAUGCAAACAGACACACACACACACACACACACACACACACACACACACACACACACACACACACACACACACACACACACACACACACACACACACACACACACACACACACACACGCACAA
Long non-coding RNA from Gadus macrocephalus (Pacific cod), 438 nucleotides. RefSeq lists it as uncharacterized. The record is from RefSeq and is a predicted model, not a curated record. The transcript is spliced from 2 exons. NCBI's taxonomy places the organism in Eukaryota, Metazoa, Chordata, Actinopteri, Gadiformes, Gadidae.